UAUCUCACAUUCAUCCGUAUUU
Molecule: microRNA, 22 nt
Filed under: Brugia malayi
Lineage: Eukaryota; Metazoa; Nematoda; Chromadorea; Rhabditida; Onchocercidae
Description: bma-miR-9504
Source: miRBase by way of RNAcentral